AUGUGUGAGAGAGAAAAAGGAGGAAGAAAGAGAGCACGGGAAGAAGGGUGGCACUCAUCUGCUGGCUCCGGCAAGCUGUGGCUGGUGGUCGCCGGCGACGGCGUGCAAAAUCACAUGAGGAGCUCCUCUCGUGGGGCUCGGGUGCGGGGAAUCAUGGGAGGAGGCUGCGAGGACGGGCACGCUCGGGCGCUCGCUCGAUCUCCUCGGGCGAAGAGGUGGCUGGGAGAUGCGGAGAGGGGAGGAGGUGGCGGCGGCAGCGGGAAGACUGGGAGCAGGGGAUGGAUGGAUCUGAUCUAG
This 297-nucleotide ribosomal RNA is filed under the name Triticum aestivum (bread wheat). RNAcentral's name for it is "partial small subunit ribosomal RNA". The record is from RNAcentral. Lineage: Eukaryota; Viridiplantae; Streptophyta; Magnoliopsida; Poales; Poaceae.